This 440-nucleotide ribosomal RNA is filed under the name uncultured bacterium. RNAcentral describes it as "bacterial SSU rRNA". It matches the Rfam family "Bacterial small subunit ribosomal RNA", at positions 958 to 1397 of the family's 1533-position model. The record is from RNAcentral.
AACGCGAAGAACCUUACCCAGGCUUGACAUGCAGUUGAAUGGCGUAGAGAUAUGCCAGCUCGCAAGAGCAGCUGCACAGGUGCUGCAUGGCUGUCGUCAGCUCGUGCCGUGAGGUGUUGGGUUAAGUCCCGCAACGAGCGCAACCCUUAUCAUUAGUUGCCAACACGUAAUGGUGGGAACUCUAAUGAGACUGCCCGGGUUAACCGGGAGGAAGGUGAGGAUGACGUCAAGUCCGCAUGGCCCUUACGUCUGGGGCUACACACGUGCUACAAUGGUCGGUACAGAAGGCAGCGAAGCCGCGAGGUGGAGCAAAUCUUAUAAAGCCGAUCCCAGUUCAGAUUGUAGUCUGCAACUCGACUACAUGAAGUCGGAAUUGCUAGUAAUGGCGUGUCAGCAACAACGCCGUGAAUACGUUCCCGGGCCUUGUACACACCGCACGA